GAUGAACGCUGGCGGCGUGCCUAAUACAUGCAAGUCGAGCGAACAGACGAGGAGCUUGCUCCUCUGACGUUAGCGGCGGACGGGUGAGUAACACGUGGCUAACCUACCUAUAAGACUGGGAUAACUUCGGGAAACCGGAGCUAAUACCGGAUAAUAUAUUGAACCGCAUGGUUCAAUAGUGAAAGACGGUUUUGCUGUCACUUAUAGAUGGAACCGCGCCGCAUUAGCUAGUUGGUAGGGUAACGGCUUACCAAGGCGACGAUGCGUAGCCGACCUGAGAGGGUGAUCGGCCACACUGGAACUGAGACACGGUCCAGACUCCUACGGGAGGCAGCAGUAGGGAAUCUUCCGCAAUGGGCGAAAGCCUGACGGAGCAACGCCGCGUGAGUGAUGAAGGUCUUCGGAUCGUAAAACUCUGUUAUUAGGGAAGAACAAAUGUGUAAGUAACUAUGCACGUCUUGACGGUACCUAAUCAGAAAGCCACGGCUAACUACGUG
This 497-nucleotide ribosomal RNA is filed under the name uncultured bacterium. RNAcentral describes it as "partial 16S ribosomal RNA". It matches the Rfam family "Bacterial small subunit ribosomal RNA", at positions 28 to 507 of the family's 1533-position model. The record is from RNAcentral.